CUGAGUUUACAACUCCCAAACCCCUGUGAACAUACCUAUCGUUGCUUCGGCGGAUCCGCCCCGGCGCCCUCGGGCCCGGAUCAGGCGCCCGCCGGAGACCCAAACUCUUGUAUUUCUUUAGUAUCUUCUGAGUAAACAAGCAAAUAAAUUA
RNAcentral lists this unclassified non-coding RNA (151 nucleotides) under uncultured Nectria. Its description in RNAcentral is "sequence contains ITS1". Lineage: Eukaryota; Fungi; Ascomycota; Sordariomycetes; Hypocreales; Nectriaceae. The record is from RNAcentral.